This 213-nucleotide long non-coding RNA is filed under the name Lathyrus oleraceus (garden pea). RNAcentral's name for it is "Pisum sativum (pea) long non-coding RNA (PSAT_LNC034431)". The record is from RNAcentral. Lineage: Eukaryota; Viridiplantae; Streptophyta; Magnoliopsida; Fabales; Fabaceae.
GGCCUUUUGUUUCACUGAAACUCUAAAUUUAUAAUCUGAUUUUUGUGGACCUGUGGGCUCAAAUGAGAGAGGCCCAAGUCCAAAAUUUUUCUGUUAUGUUUUAUUUAUUUAUUUAUUUAUUUAUUUUGUUUUUCGUUUUUCGUUUUUUUUAACGCGUGGGAUUCGCCUAGCGAGCAUGACAGUUCAAGAAAUUCCUCUGAGUGUAGGUGAUUC